AGAGUUUGAUCCUGGCUCAGGACGAACUUCUGGCGGCGUGCCUAAUACAUGCAAGUCGAGCGAACAGAUUUGAAAAGCUUGCUUUUCAAUGACGUUAGCGGCGGACGGGUGAGUAACACGUGGGCAACCUGCCCUUUAGUUUGGGAUAACUUCGGGAAACCGGAGCUAAUACCGAAUAAUACUUUUAGCUUCAUGGCUUUAAGUUGAAAGACGGUUUCGGCUGUCGCUAAAGGAUGGGCCCGCGGUGCAUUAGCUAGUUGGUAGGGUAACGGCCUACCAAGGCAACGAUGCAUAGCCGACCUGAGAGGGUGAUCGGCCACACUGGGACUGAGACACGGCCCAGACUCCCACGGGAGGCAGCAGUAGGGAAUCUUCCACAAUGGGCGAAAGCCUGAUGGAGCAACGCCGCGUGAGUGAAGAAGGAUUUCGGUUCGUAAAACUCUGUUGCAAGGGAAGAACGAGUAGCGUAGUAACUGGCGCUACCUUGACGGUACCUCGUUAGAAAGCCACGGCUAACUACGUGCCAGCAGCCGCGGUAAUACGUAGGUGGCAAGCGUUGCCCGGAAUUAUUGGGCGUAAAGCGCGCGCAGGUGGUUUCUUAAGUCUGAUGUGAAAGCCCCCGGCUCAACCGGGGAGGGUCAUUGGAAACUGGGAGACUUGAGUGCAGAAGAGGAAAGUGGAAUUCCAAGUGUAGCGGUGAAAUGCGUAGAGAUUUGGAGGAACACCAGUGGCGAAGGCGACUUUCUGGUCUGUAACUGACACUGAGGCGCGAAAGCGUGGGGAGCAAACAGGAUUAGAUACCCUGGUAGUCCACGCCGUAAACGAUGA
RNAcentral lists this ribosomal RNA (828 nucleotides) under uncultured bacterium. RNAcentral describes it as "bacterial SSU rRNA". It matches the Rfam family "Bacterial small subunit ribosomal RNA", at positions 8 to 812 of the family's 1533-position model. The record is from RNAcentral.